AAUGGGAAGAAGACUGGGGCUCAAAGGAACAGCUACUCUUGCCUAAAACCAUCACUGCUGAGGUACACCCAGUACCCCUUCGCAAGCCAAAGUAUGAUCAGGGAGUGGAGCCUGAGCUCGAGCCCGCAGAUGACCCAGAUGGAGGCACGGAGGAGCAGGGAGAGCAGCUUUUGGAUGGUUUUAUCGUUACGAUGGCAAAUUCCCAACCAUCCGGAAGAGCUGUGAGAGACUCUUUGUCUCCCAGCAGCUGGAACGCCAAGUCCCCAGGAAAUGCAAGUGGGUAUCCAUGGCCAUGAUCAUCUGUGCAUAAAUUCCCCUUAUUUAAAAAUAUAAAGAUUCAGCUCAUGCCUAUAAUCCCAGCACUGUGGGAGGCCGAGACAGGCGAAUCACGUAAGGUUGGGAGU
RNAcentral lists this small RNA (404 nucleotides) under Pongo abelii (Sumatran orangutan). RNAcentral's name for it is "processed transcript". Lineage: Eukaryota; Metazoa; Chordata; Mammalia; Primates; Hominidae. The record is from RNAcentral.